AGAAAAAGGAAUCAUAAAGAAAAGUAAAACCACAAAUCCUUAUAACUAACUAAGUAAUCUUCCAUUUCGCUUCGCACCCUCUGAUUAUUUCCCGCCACCAAAAAUCAAGCACCGAUGGAGAAUUUGAUAUCAUUGGUAAACAAGAUACAGAGGGCGUGUACUGCCCUUGGAGAUCACGGCGAAGAAAGCGCCUUGCCUACUCUCUGGGACUCUUUACCCGCCAUUGCCGUCGUCGGUGGCCAGAGUUCUGGGAAGUCUUCAGUCUUGGAGAGCAUUGUUGGCAAGGACUUUCUACCUCGCGGGGCAGGGAUUGUUACACGACGUCCACUUGUCCUGCAGCUUCAUAGGAUUGAUGAAGGAAGAGAAUAUGCUGAGUUUAUGCAUCUCCCAAGAAAGAAAUUCACUGAUUUUGCUGCUGUGAGGCAGGAGAUCUCUGAUGAGACCGAUCGAGAGACUGGCCGCACCAAACAAAUCUCUACUGUUCCAAUCCAUCUUAGCAUUUAUUCCCCCAAUGUUGUGAAUUUGACAUUGAUUGAUCUUCCUGGUCUUACCAAAGUAGCUGUUGAGGGUCAA
This 573-nucleotide unclassified non-coding RNA is filed under the name Hevea brasiliensis (rubber tree). The record is from RNAcentral. Lineage: Eukaryota; Viridiplantae; Streptophyta; Magnoliopsida; Malpighiales; Euphorbiaceae.